GAUGAACGCUGGCGGCGUGCCUAAUACAUGCAAGUCGAGCGAACGGACGAGAAGCUUGCUUCUCUGAUGUUAGCGGCGGACGGGUGAGUAACACGUGGAUAACCUACCUAUAAGACUGGGAUAACUUCGGGAAACCGGAGCUAAUACCGGAUAAUAUUUUGAACCGCAUGGUUCAACAGUGAAAGACGGUCUUGCUGUCACUUAUAGAUGGAUCCGCGCUGCAUUAGCUAGUUGGUAAGGUAACGGCUUACCAAGGCAACGAUGCAUAGCCGACCUGAGAGGGUGAUCGGCCACACUGGAACUGAGACACGGUCCAGACUCCUACGGGAGGCAGCAGUAGGGAAUCUUCCGCAAUGGGCGAAAGCCUGACGGAGCAACGCCGCGUGAGUGAUGAAGGUCUUCGGAUCGUAAAACUCUGUUAUUAGGGAAGAACAUAUGUGUAAGUAACUGUGCACAUCUUGACGGUACCUAAUCAGAAAGCCACGGCUAACUACGU
Molecule: ribosomal RNA, 496 nt
Filed under: uncultured bacterium
Lineage: Bacteria
Description: partial 16S ribosomal RNA
Rfam family: Bacterial small subunit ribosomal RNA
Source: RNAcentral